Molecule: ribosomal RNA, 450 nt
Filed under: uncultured bacterium
Lineage: Bacteria
Description: bacterial SSU rRNA
Rfam family: Bacterial small subunit ribosomal RNA
Source: RNAcentral
GUGGGGAAUUUUGGACAAUGGGCGCAAGCCUGAUCCAGCAAUGUCGCGUGCAGGAAGAAGGCCUUCGGGUUGUAAACUGCUUUUGUACGGAACGAAACGGUCCGGGUUAAUACCCUGGGCUAAUGACGGUACCGUAAGAAUAAGCACCGGCUAACUACGUGCCAGCAGCCGCGGUAAUACGUAGGGUGCAAGCGUUAAUCGGAAUUACUGGGCGUAAAGCGUGCGCAGGCGGUUUUGUAAGACAGGCGUGAAAUCCCCGGGCUCAACCUGGGAAGUGCAUUCGUGACUGCAAGGCUAGAGUGUGUCAGAGGGAGGUGGAAUUCCGCGUGUAGCAGUGAAAUGCGUAGAGAUGCGGAGGAACACCGAUGGCGAAGGCAGCCUCCUGGGAUAACACUGACGCUCAGGCACGAGAGCGUGGGGAGCAAACAGGAUUAGAUACCCUUGUAGUCC